Molecule: long non-coding RNA, 1056 nt
Organism: Bos taurus (domestic cattle)
Lineage: Eukaryota; Metazoa; Chordata; Mammalia; Artiodactyla; Bovidae
Source: Ensembl
GGGUCUUAGUAGUCAUGCACAGACUUCUCUCUAGCUGUGGCAUGCAGAUUCCAGGGAGCAAACCCAUGUCCCCUGCAUUGCAAAGUGGAUUCUUAACCACUGGACCACCAGGGAAGUCCCUCUUUUGUUUCAUUUCUUAAUCAAAUGCUUAAGAAGGGAUGCUUUAGAAGGGAUUUAAGUCUGCUCUUUGGCUGGAGUAAGGACUCAGUAAGCAUCCGUUGAGAAAGAGAUGAAAGAAUGAUGAAAUAGUUAGCCCUUGAGAAAUGGUUGAUGACAGAGAAUCAAACGAGAUAAUCCCAAUGAAACUGAUGUCAAUCUGUGAGUAGUGAGAAUUGUAACUGAGCUGGACAGGACUGCAGCCUUACCCACUGGCGUCAUCUGCUGGAAAGAACUGAGCACAACAGACCCAUUUCUGCCUUGGUGAAGUAUGAGGACACUGGCUUUUGGAAGUCCCGGCAAAGAUCUGAGUAAAAACGGAAUACAUUUCAGCACAAUCUAACAUGUGCCAGGUUUCAUGCCAUUAACAAUGAUGACUAUUCCCAAGUGCUGACUAAUUUCAUCAUUCAUGUUACGCAAUGUUCAACUAACUGGGCAAGCGGUUGGUGAUGGAUUCCUUGACCUCUUCAAAUAAGCAAUGGAAGAAUCGAGGGCCACAACUUGACUAAUGCAUUUGAGUGAUUUAUUUAAAAAUCAAUUUUCUGGCAAAUUUGAAUUGUUUAAAAACAUUUCACUCCCUCUCCCACACCACUUCCAGAGGAAGAGCAAAAUUUUGAUGUUGGGGAUGUUGCCCUGGAUCAUGUUCCUGUAUGCUUUCCACUUGCUCGCUGACCUUAGGCUUCGCUGCAUGACUUGUUUUUCCCAAUGGGAUAUUAGCAGUUAUUGACUCAAGCAGAGGCUUAAAGUGUGCUUGCAGGGUUGGCCUUGCCCUCUAUGCUUCUGCCAUGCCAGAGAGUGCCUGCCUACUGGAUCAGCCAGAGUGCAGCAGCAUACAUGAAAGUAAAUCACUGUUGUUUUAUAUCACUGAGUUUUAAAGUGGCUUGGUAGGCAGUCCUGGCU